AGAAAUAUUUCACCUCCUCAGUUAAAUAUAUUCCUAGGUAUUUUAUUUUUUUGUAGCUACUGUAAAUGUGAUUGCCUUCUUAAUUUGGUUGUCAGCAUGAUCAUAAUUGGUAUAUAGAAAUACUAGUGAUUUGUGCACAUUGAUUUUGUAUCCUGAAACCUUACUGAUAUGGUUUGGCUGUGUCCCCACCUAAAUCACAUCUUGAAUUGUAGUUCCCAUAAUCCCCACGCAUUGUGAGAGGGACUUGGUGGGAGGUAAUUGAAUCAUGGGUGUGGUUACCCCCAUGCUGCUGUUCUUGUGAUAGUGAGUGAGUUCUCAUGAGAUCUGAUGGUUUUAUCAGGGGCUUUUCCCCCUUGUGCUUGGCACUUCUCCUUCCUGCCAUCAUGUGAAGAAGGUUGUGUUUGCCUCCCCUUCUGCCAUGAAUGUAAGUUUCCUGAGGCCUCCACAGCCAUACCGAACUGUGAGUCAAUUAAACCUCUUCCCUUUAUAAAUUACCGAAUCUUGGGUAGUCCUUUUUUUUUUUUUUUUUGAGAGGGAAUCUUGCUCUGUCGCCCAGGCCGGAGUGCAGUGGCGUGGUCUCAGCUCACUGCAAGCUCCGCCUCCCAGGUUCAAGCCAAUCUCCUCAGCCUCCGGAGUAGCUGGAACUACAGGCGCCCGCCACCACGCCCAGCUGAUUUUUUUGUAUUUUUCAGUAGAGACGGGGUUUCACCGUGUCAGCCAGGAUGGUUUCGAUCUCCUGACCUCGUGAUCCACCCGCCUCGGCCUCCCAAAGUGCUGGGAUUACAGGCGUGAGCCACCGCGCCCAGCCAGGUAGUCCUUUAUAGUAGCAUGAGAAUGGACCAAUAUACUUACUGAAUUCAUUUACCAAGUGUAAGAGAUAUUGGUGGAGUCUUGUGGAUGUUCUAGAUAUAAGAUCAUAUCAUCAGUGAACAGAAAUAAUUUGACUUCUUUUCCAAAAAAUGUCUUCUUUUUUUUUUUUUUUUUUUUUUUUUGCCUUAUGUCUCUGGCCAAGGCUUCCAGUAUUAUGAUAUAUAAGAGAGGUAAAAGUGUGCAUACUUGUCUUCUUCCAGUUCUUAGGGGGAAUGCUUUCAACUUCUCCCCAUUUAGUAUAAUAUUGGUUGUAGGUUUGUCAUACACUGCCUUUAUUAUUUUGAGGUAUACUCCUUCUGUGUCUAGUUUGUCAAGUGUUUUUAUUAUGAAGGGAUUUUGAAUUUUAUCAAAUGCUUUUUUUUGCAUCUAUUGAGGUAAUCAUCUGGUUUUCAUCCUUAAUUCUGUUUAUGUGAUGAAUCACAUUUAUUGAUUAUGUGUGUUGAACUGUCUUUGUACCCCUGGAAUAAAACUCGCUUCAUCAUGGUGAAAAGAAAAAAAAAAUUAAAAAGAAUGAGUUAGAGAUAACUUCCUCCUCCUUGAUUUUUUAGAACAGUUUCUGGAGGAUGGGUACCAGUUCUUCUUUGUACAUUUGGUAGAAUUCGCCUGUGAAUCCAUUCAGUCCUGGUCUUUUUUUAUUGUUGCUGGGAGGGUUUUU
RNAcentral lists this long non-coding RNA (1525 nucleotides) under Homo sapiens (human). RNAcentral describes it as "HSALNT0271506". The record is from RNAcentral. Lineage: Eukaryota; Metazoa; Chordata; Mammalia; Primates; Hominidae.